UACGGGGGGGGCAAGCGUUGUUCGGAAUUACUGGGCGUAAAGGGCUCGUAGGCUGCCAACUAAGUCGGACGUGAAAUCCCUCGGCUUAACCGGGGAACUGCGUCUGAUACUGGAUGGCUUGAGUUUGGGAGAGGGAUGCGGAAUUCCAGGUGUAGCGGUGAAAUGCGUAGAUAUCAGGAGGAACACCGGUGGCGAAGGCGGCUACCUGGACAGAAACUGACGCUGAGGCACGAAAGCUAGGGGAGCAAACAGG
This 253-nucleotide ribosomal RNA is filed under the name uncultured bacterium. Its description in RNAcentral is "partial 16S ribosomal RNA". It matches the Rfam family "Bacterial small subunit ribosomal RNA", at positions 524 to 776 of the family's 1533-position model. The record is from RNAcentral.